Molecule: microRNA precursor, 206 nt
Filed under: Leersia perrieri
Lineage: Eukaryota; Viridiplantae; Streptophyta; Magnoliopsida; Poales; Poaceae
Description: MIR812 microRNA precursor family
Rfam family: MIR812 microRNA precursor family
Source: Rfam by way of RNAcentral
UGUAAGCCUAAUGUUUUGACUUUUUACUUGCAAUGUUUGACCAUUCAUCUUAUUCAAAAAAUUAUGGAAGUAUCAUUUAUUUUGUUUGUGCCUAUUUUAUUAUCAAAAGUACUUUAAGCAUGACUUAUCAUUUUUUAUAUUUGCACUAAAUUUUUGAAUAAGACGAAUGGUCAAACGUUGUAAGCAAAAAGUUAAAACAACUUACA